RNAcentral lists this ribosomal RNA (628 nucleotides) under Geosmithia sp. MK592. RNAcentral's name for it is "eukaryotic LSU rRNA". It matches the Rfam family "Eukaryotic large subunit ribosomal RNA", at positions 1 to 655 of the family's 3401-position model. The record is from RNAcentral. Lineage: Eukaryota; Fungi; Ascomycota; Sordariomycetes; Hypocreales; Bionectriaceae.
UGACCUCGGAUCAGGUAGGAAUACCCGCUGAACUUAAGCAUAUCAAUAAGCGGAGGAAAAGAAACCAACAGGGAUUGCCUCAGUAACGGCGAGUGAAGCGGCAACAGCUCAAAUUUGAAAUCUGGCCCCCAGGCCCGAGUUGUAAUUUGUAGAGGAUGCUUCUGGCGACGCGCCUUCCGAGUUCCCUGGAACGGGACGCCAAAGAGGGUGAGAGCCCCGUCCGGUCGUGCGCCUAGCCUCUGUGAAGCUCCUUCGACGAGUCGAGUAGUUUGGGAAUGCUGCUCUAAAUGGGAGGUAUACGUCUUCUAAAGCUAAAUACCGGCCAGAGACCGAUAGCGCACAAGUAGAGUGAUCGAAAGAUGAAAAGCACUUUGAAAAGAGGGUUAAAUAGUACGUGAAAUUGCUGAAAGGGAAGCGCUUAUGACCAGACUUGGGCUUGGUGAAUCAUCCGGCGUUCUCGCCGGUGCACUUUGCCGGUCCAGGCCAGCAUCAGUUUGCUUCGGGGGAUAAAGGCUUCGGGAAUGUAGCUCCCUCGGGAGUGUUAUAGACCGUUGCGUAAUACCCUGGGGCGGACUGAGGUACGCGUUCUGCAAGGAUGCUGGCGUAAUGGUCAUCAGUGACCCGUCUU